This is a small nucleolar RNA of Humulus lupulus (European hop), 107 nucleotides long. The record is from RefSeq and is a predicted model, not a curated record. Lineage: Eukaryota; Viridiplantae; Streptophyta; Magnoliopsida; Rosales; Cannabaceae.
AUGCCGUGAUGAGGGAACUUCCUCAACAAUUCCUUAAAUCUCUAUCAUGCUUCAUAUAAUUAUUCUUCGUCGCUCUAGAAGAAUAUAUUAAUGUCCCCUCUCAACUU